RNAcentral lists this transfer RNA (83 nucleotides) under Felis catus (domestic cat). It matches the Rfam family "tRNA". Rfam says of the family: Transfer RNA (tRNA) molecules are approximately 80 nucleotides in length. Their secondary structure includes four short double-helical elements and three loops (D, anti-codon, and T loops). RNAcentral also lists the same sequence under 3 other names. Lineage: Eukaryota; Metazoa; Chordata; Mammalia; Carnivora; Felidae. The record is from Rfam by way of RNAcentral.
GCCUGGGUGGUUCAGUCAGUUGAGCGUCCGACUUCAACUUGGGUCAUGAUCUCAGUUCAAGGGUUCGAAUCCCUCAUCAGGCU